GGGUUGUGAGGUUAAGCGACUAAGCGUACACGGUGGAUGCCCUGGCAGUCAGAGGCGAUGAAGGACGUGCUAAUCUGCGAUAAGCGUCGGUAAGGUGAUAUGAACCGUUAUAACCGGCGAUUUCCGAAUGGGGAAACCCAGUGUGUUUCGACACACUAUCAUUAACUGAAUCCAUAGGUUAAUGAGGCGAACCGGGGGAACUGAAACAUCUAAGUACCCCGAGGAAAAGAAAUCAACCGAGAUUCCCCCAGUAGCGGCGAGCGAACGGGGAGCAGCCCAGAGCCUGAAUCAGUGUGUGUGUUAGUGGAAGCGUCUGGAAAGGCGCGCGAUACAGGGUGACAGCCCCGUACACAAAAAUGCACAUGCUGUGAGCUCGAUGAGUAGGGCGGGACACGUGGUAUCCUGUCUGAAUAUGGGGGGACCAUCCUCCAAGGCUAAAUACUCCUGACUGACCGAUAGUGAACCAGUACCGUGAGGGAAAGGCGAAAAGAACCCCGGCGAGGGGAGUGAAAAAGAACCUGAAACCGUGUACGUACAAGCAGUGGGAGCACGCUUAGGCGUGUGACUGCGUACCUUUUGUAUAAUGGGUCAGCGACUUAUAUUCUGUAGCAAGGUUAACCGAAUAGGGGAGCCGAAGGGAAACCGAGUCUUAACUGGGCGUUAAGUUGCAGGGUAUAGACCCGAAACCCGGUGAUCUAGCCAUGGGCAGGUUGAAGGUUGGGUAACACUAACUGGAGGACCGAACCGACUAAUGUUGAAAAAUUAGCGGAUGACUUGUGGCUGGGGGUGAAAGGCCAAUCAAACCGGGAGAUAGCUGGUUCUCCCCGAAAGCUAUUUAGGUAGCGCCUCGUGAAUUCAUCUCCGGGGGUAGAGCACUGUUUCGGCAAGGGGGUCAUCCCGACUUACCAACCCGAUGCAAACUGCGAAUACCGGAGAAUGUUAUCACGGGAGACACACGGCGGGUGCUAACGUCCGUCGUGAAGAGGGAAACAACCCAGACCGCCAGCUAAGGUCCCAAAGUCAUGGUUAAGUGGGAAACGAUGUGGGAAGGCCCAGACAGCCAGGAUGUUGGCUUAGAAGCAGCCAUCAUUUAAAGAAAGCGUAAUAGCUCACUGGUCGAGUCGGCCUGCGCGGAAGAUGUAACGGGGCUAAACCAUGCACCGAAGCUGCGGCAGCGACGCUUAUGCGUUGUUGGGUAGGGGAGCGUUCUGUAAGCCUGUGAAGGUGUGCUGUGAGGCAUGCUGGAGGUAUCAGAAGUGCGAAUGCUGACAUAAGUAACGAUAAAGCGGGUGAAAAGCCCGCUCGCCGGAAGACCAAGGGUUCCUGUCCAACGUUAAUCGGGGCAGGGUGAGUCGACCCCUAAGGCGAGGCCGAAAGGCGUAGUCGAUGGGAAACAGGUUAAUAUUCCUGUACUUGGUGUUACUGCGAAGGGGGGACGGAGAAGGCUAUGUUGGCCGGGCGACGGUUGUCCCGGUUUAAGCGUGUAGGCUGGUUUUCCAGGCAAAUCCGGAAAAUCAAGGCUGAGGCGUGAUGACGAGGCACUACGGUGCUGAAGCAACAAAUGCCCUGCUUCCAGGAAAAGCCUCUAAGCAUCAGGUAACAUCAAAUCGUACCCCAAACCGACACAGGUGGUCAGGUAGAGAAUACCAAGGCGCUUGAGAGAACUCGGGUGAAGGAACUAGGCAAAAUGGUGCCGUAACUUCGGGAGAAGGCACGCUGAUAUGUAGGUGAAGUCCCUCGCGGAUGGAGCUGAAAUCAGUCGAAGAUACCAGCUGGCUGCAACUGUUUAUUAAAAACACAGCACUGUGCAAACACGAAAGUGGACGUAUACGGUGUGACGCCUGCCCGGUGCCGGAAGGUUAAUUGAUGGGGUUAGCGGUAACGCGAAGCUCUUGAUCGAAGCCCCGGUAAACGGCGGCCGUAACUAUAACGGUCCUAAGGUAGCGAAAUUCCUUGUCGGGUAAGUUCCGACCUGCACGAAUGGCGUAAUGAUGGCCAGGCUGUCUCCACCCGAGACUCAGUGAAAUUGAACUCGCUGUGAAGAUGCAGUGUACCCGCGGCAAGACGGAAAGACCCCGUGAACCUUUACUAUAGCUUGACACUGAACAUUGAGCCUUGAUGUGUAGGAUAGGUGGGAGGCUUUGAAGUGUGGACGCCAGUCUGCAUGGAGCCGACCUUGAAAUACCACCCUUUAAUGUUUGAUGUUCUAACGUUGACCCCUAAUCGGGGUUGCGGACAGUGUCUGGUGGGUAGUUUGACUGGGGCGGUCUCCUCCUAAAGAGUAACGGAGGAGCACGAAGGUUGGCUAAUCCUGGUCGGACAUCAGGAGGUUAGUGCAAUGGCAUAAGCCAGCUUGACUGCGAGCGUGACGGCGCGAGCAGGUGCGAAAGCAGGUCAUAGUGAUCCGGUGGUUCUGAAUGGAAGGGCCAUCGCUCAACGGAUAAAAGGUACUCCGGGGAUAACAGGCUGAUACCGCCCAAGAGUUCAUAUCGACGGCGGUGUUUGGCACCUCGAUGUCGGCUCAUCACAUCCUGGGGCUGAAGUAGGUCCCAAGGGUAUGGCUGUUCGCCAUUUAAAGUGGUACGCGAGCUGGGUUUAGAACGUCGUGAGACAGUUCGGUCCCUAUCUGCCGUGGGCGCUGGAGAACUGAGGGGGGCUGCUCCUAGUACGAGAGGACCGGAGUGGACGCAUCACUGGUGUUCGGGUUGUCAUGCCAAUGGCACUGCCCGGUAGCUAAAUGCGGAAGAGAUAAGUGCUGAAAGCAUCUAAGCACGAAACUUGCCCCGAGAUGAGUUCUCCCUGACUCCUUGAGAGUCCUGAAGGAACGUUGAAGACGACGACGUUGAUAGGCCGGGUGUGUAAGCGCAGCGAUGCGUUGAGCUAACCGGUACUAAUGAACCGUGAGGCUUAACCUUACAACGCCGAAG
RNAcentral lists this ribosomal RNA (2927 nucleotides) under Escherichia coli. Its description in RNAcentral is "partial 23S ribosomal RNA". It matches the Rfam family "Bacterial large subunit ribosomal RNA". The record is from RNAcentral. Lineage: Bacteria; Pseudomonadati; Pseudomonadota; Gammaproteobacteria; Enterobacterales; Enterobacteriaceae.